This 617-nucleotide long non-coding RNA is filed under the name Pan troglodytes (chimpanzee). RNAcentral's name for it is "long non-coding RNA NONPTRT017034". The record is from RNAcentral. Lineage: Eukaryota; Metazoa; Chordata; Mammalia; Primates; Hominidae.
CGCAGUCACUCAGGAGAUCACCUUCCCAAUUGCAUUUUAGAAGGGUGUGGCAGAUUCAAGAUGCAGAAGGGAGGAGAGAAGGAAGGAGGUGAAGGAGACGGCACAGGCAGAGGUACAGAGUGGUGACUGAAACCACACGCCAUGUUGGGAGACUUCCAAACAAGUCUAGAGAGUUGGCACUUAGGGAUGAAGAAAUCAUCUUCUGGGUACACUUGGUCUUUCCUGAUGAAGCUUUUAAGAGAAAAGCAGAGUUGACCCUGGGCUUUCAAAAAACUCUUCUUUCAGGCAAAACCUCAGAGAGAACUGGCUGCUAGUGAUCCUCUGCAGAGACCUUGAAGAGCACGGCAAUUAUGAAACUUCAACAAGAAAAGAUUUAAGCUGAUCUUUAAAAAAAAUAUACUGUCAGGAAUUUUGUAGAAAUGACUUUAAUGUAAUAACUGCUUCUUUGACUUAUGUUUUGUCUGGUGGUGAAAAGAAAAAUAUUUAUAAAAGCAUGCCUGUGUCCUAAAAUUGGGGACACAAACUUAAAUGACUGAAGGCACUUAAGGAGUGGAGGCAAGGAUGGUGAAACCAGGCCCUGUACCAAGCAGGAGAGCGUGAACCUGCUAAAGAGAGUG